AUUGAACGCUGGCGGAAUGCUUUACACAUGCAAGUCGAACGGCAGCACGGACUUCGGUCUGGUGGCGAGUGGCGAACGGGUGAGUAAUAUACCGGAACGUAUCCAAUAAUGGGGGAUAACUAAUCGAAAGGUUGGCUAAUACCGCAUACGUCCUACGGGAGAAAGCUAGGGACCUUCGGGCCUGGCGUUAAUGGAGCGGCCGAUAUCGGAUUAGCUAGUUGGUGAGGUAAAGGCUCACCAAGGCGACGAUCCGUAGCUGGUCUGAGAGGACGACCAGCCACACUGGAACUGGGACACGGUCCAGACUCCUACGGGAGGCAGCAGUGGGGAAUUUUGGACAAUGGGCGAAAGCCUGAUCCAGCCAUUCCGCGUGAGUGAAGAAGGCCUUCGGGUUGUAAAGCUCUUUCGCAAGAGAAGAAAACUUACCCUCUAACAUAGGGUGAGGUUGACGGUAUCUUGAUAAGAAGCACCGGCUAACUACGUGCCAGCCGCCGCAGUAA
RNAcentral lists this ribosomal RNA (500 nucleotides) under uncultured bacterium. Its description in RNAcentral is "partial 16S ribosomal RNA". It matches the Rfam family "Bacterial small subunit ribosomal RNA", at positions 30 to 523 of the family's 1533-position model. The record is from RNAcentral.